This 465-nucleotide ribosomal RNA is filed under the name uncultured bacterium. RNAcentral describes it as "bacterial SSU rRNA". It matches the Rfam family "Bacterial small subunit ribosomal RNA", at positions 331 to 792 of the family's 1533-position model. The record is from RNAcentral.
CCAGACCCCUACGGGAGGCAGCAGUGAGGAAUAUUGGUCAAUGGGCGGAAGCCUGAACCAGCCAAGUCGCGUGAGGGAAUAAGGCCCUACGGGUCGUAAACCUCUUUUGCCGGGGAGCAAGGGCGGGGACGUGUCCCGGCCCGGAGAGUACCCGGAGAAAAAGCAUCGGCUAACUCCGUGCCAGCAGCCGCGGUAAUACGGAAGGUCCGGGCGUUAUCCGGAUUUAUUGGGUUUAAAGGGAGCGUAGGCCGGUGUUAAGUCGUGCGGUGAAAUUUUGUGGCUCAACCAGGAGAGUGCGGCGCGAACUGGAGACCUUGAGUGCGCGGAGGGCAGGCGGAAUUCGUGGUGUAGCGGUAAAAUGCUUAGAUAUCACGAAGAACCCCGAGUGCGAAGGCAGCCUGCCGCAGCGUUACUGACGCUGAAGCUCGAAAGCGCGGGUAUCGAACAGGAUUAGAUCCCCUAGUA